Molecule: non-coding RNA, 378 nt
Organism: Pelobates cultripes (western spadefoot toad)
Lineage: Eukaryota; Metazoa; Chordata; Amphibia; Anura; Pelobatidae
Source: the annotation of a GenBank genome assembly
UUCCCCCCCCCCCCAAAGAUAUUAAGCUAAAUAACUAUUCACACUGCAGUUAGCCCUUAUCUUUAAGGCAAAGGACGUAACCAGAGACAGAAGAAUAUAGGAUGUCCAACAUGGUAAAAGUUGGUUUGUUUCCAUUUGAGUGAAUACAUUUAGGACGAUGGAGAUAUGUUUUAAUUUGUAAUCUGUCCUAGCGCUCUCAGCGAACCAUUGCCAAAAAGAAAUGGACAGGACACAGAGGAAGAGAAACAAGGCUGUUUGAAAUAGCCUUGGCGAUAGGGUAGCAAGAACGUGUCAUACCACUAGUAGUAAACGAAAACAAAAGAAAGUAAUACUCAUAGAGUGCCGACAACAGAAUUCACUUCUAAAAUAUAUAUAUAU